This 63-nucleotide transfer RNA is filed under the name Hydrobasileus croceus. RNAcentral's name for it is "tRNA-Phe". The record is from RNAcentral. Lineage: Eukaryota; Metazoa; Arthropoda; Insecta; Odonata; Libellulidae.
ACUUAGAUAGCUUAAAAAAAGCUUAACAUUGAAGCUGUUAUGAUGAUCUUAGAUCUCUGAGUA